CCCGGGGUGGGCACGCUGUACGGCACGCAGCGGCUGCCCCAGCACGCCUACCCCGGGCCC
MicroRNA precursor from Gallus gallus (chicken), 60 nucleotides. NCBI's taxonomy places the organism in Eukaryota, Metazoa, Chordata, Aves, Galliformes, Phasianidae. The record is from Ensembl.